Molecule: small nuclear RNA, 106 nt
Organism: Suricata suricatta (meerkat)
Lineage: Eukaryota; Metazoa; Chordata; Mammalia; Carnivora; Herpestidae
Source: Ensembl
GUGCUCACUCUGGCAGCACAUAUACUAUGAUUGGAACUAUACAGGGAAGAUUAGCGCAGCCCUGCACAAAGAUGACAUGCAAAUUCAUGGAGUAUUAUGUAUUUUU